ACAUGGCAAGUCGAACGAUGAAGUUCCUUCGGGGAUGGGAUUAGUGGCGAACGGGUGAGGAACACGUGAACAAUCUGCCCCUUAACACGGGAAUAACUUCGGGAAACCGAAGCUAAUACCCGAUAUUGGAAAUCCGGUAGGCAUCUACUGGGUUUGAAAUGGUCCGCCGGUAAGGGAUGAGUUCGCGGCCUAUCAGCUUGUUGGUGAGGUAAUGGCUCACCAAGGCGACGACGGGUAGCCGGCCUGAGAGGGCGACCGGCCACACUGGGACUGAGACACGGCCCAGACUCC
This 291-nucleotide ribosomal RNA is filed under the name uncultured bacterium. RNAcentral's name for it is "partial 16S ribosomal RNA". It matches the Rfam family "Bacterial small subunit ribosomal RNA", at positions 57 to 339 of the family's 1533-position model. The record is from RNAcentral.